Molecule: ribosomal RNA, 497 nt
Filed under: uncultured bacterium
Lineage: Bacteria
Description: partial 16S ribosomal RNA
Rfam family: Bacterial small subunit ribosomal RNA
Source: RNAcentral
GAUGAACGCUGGCGGCGUGCCUAAUACAUGCAAGUCGAGCGAACGGACGAGAAGCUUGCUUUUCUGAUGUUAGCGGCGGACGGGGGAGUAACACGUGGAUAACCUACCUAUAAGACUGGGAUAACUUCGGGAAACCGGAGCUAAUACCGGAUAAUAUUUUGAACCGCAUUGUUCAAAAGUGAAAGACGGUCUUGCUGUCACUUAUAGAUGGAUCCGCGCUGCAUUAGCUAGUUGGUAAGGUAACGGCUUACCAAGGCAACGAUGCAUAGCCGACCUGAGAGGGUGAUCGGCCACACUGGAACUGAGACACGGUCCAGACUCCUACGGGAGGCAGCAGUAGGGAAUCUUCCGCAAUGGGCGAAAGCCUGACGGAGCAACGCCGCGUGAGUGAUGAAGGUCUUCGGAUCGUAAAACUCUGUUAUUAGGGAAGAACAUAUGUGUAAGUAACUGUGCACAUCUUGACGGUACAUAAUCAGAAAGCCACGGCUAACUACGUG